AGUGAACGCUGGCGGCGUGCUUAACACAUGCAAGUCGAACGAGUAAGUGUCUGUAGCAAUACAGAGGUAUUGCUAGUGGCAGACGGGUGAGUAAUACAUGGGAAUCUGCCUCGAAGUCUGGGCUAACUAAUGGAAACGGUAGCUAAUACCGGAUAUUGCCUAAGGGUGAAAGUUUUUCGCUUCGAGAUGAGCCCAUGCAAGAUUAGCUAGUUGGUAGGGUAAAAGCCUACCACGGCAAAGAUCUUUAGCUGGGCUUAGAGGAUGAUCAGCCACACUAGAACUGAGACACGGUCCAGACUCCUACGGGAGGCAUCAGUGGGGAAGAUUGGACAAUGGGCGAAAGCCUGAUCCAGCGACGCCGCGUGAGUGAUGAAGGCCUUCGGGUUGUAAAGCUCUUUCAGUAGGGAAGAUAAUGACGGUACCUACAGAAGAAGCUCCGGCUAACUUCGUGCCAGCCGCCGCCGUAA
RNAcentral lists this ribosomal RNA (467 nucleotides) under uncultured bacterium. RNAcentral's name for it is "partial 16S ribosomal RNA". It matches the Rfam family "Bacterial small subunit ribosomal RNA", at positions 29 to 523 of the family's 1533-position model. The record is from RNAcentral.